This 234-nucleotide long non-coding RNA is filed under the name Arachis ipaensis. RNAcentral describes it as "long non-coding RNA (AIPA_LNC001133)". Lineage: Eukaryota; Viridiplantae; Streptophyta; Magnoliopsida; Fabales; Fabaceae. The record is from RNAcentral.
AUGAGUUUAUCUUCGGGCCAACAACAACAAAUAUAUGGUGAACCGAAAAGAAUAUUAUACAGUGACGAGUUGCUUCAUAUUAGAGGAAAAGAGGACAAAUAAAAAAUAGUUAGAAAUGGGGGAUAGGAAAAGUGAGAGAGAGCAUACAAGAUUCCACAUCAGAUGAAAGGGAAAGGCACCUAUCAAUUAUCCGAAGCUAAAAGAAAACGCAAAGAAAUCCAACGGUGGAGGAAC